RNAcentral lists this ribosomal RNA (396 nucleotides) under uncultured bacterium. RNAcentral describes it as "partial 16S ribosomal RNA". It matches the Rfam family "Bacterial small subunit ribosomal RNA", at positions 360 to 773 of the family's 1533-position model. The record is from RNAcentral.
AAUAUUGCGCAAUGGGGGGAACCCUGACGCAGCAACGCCGCGUGAUCGAGUAAGGCCUUCUGGUCGUAAAGCUCUUUCUAGAGGGAUGAUAGUGACAGUACCUCUGGACGAAGCCCCGGCUAACUACGUGCCAUCAGCCGAGGUAAUACGUAGGGGGCAAGCGUUGUCCGGAUUUACUGGGCGUAAAGGGCGCGUAGGCGGUAGCAUAAGUCAGAUGUGAAAGUCCAGGGCUCAACCGUGGAAUUGCAUUUGAAACUGUACUACUUGAGUGCAGGAGAGGAGAGCGGAAUUCCUAGUGUAGCGGUGAAAUGCGUAGAGAUUAGGAAGAACACCAGUGGCGAAGGCGGCUCUCUGGACUGUAACUGACGCUGAGGCGCGAAAGCGUGGGUAGCGAAC